CUUAGCUUGCUAAGGGGAUUAGUGGCGAACGGGUGAGUAAUAUAUCGGAACGUGCCUUGUAAUGGGGGAUAACUAGUCGAAAGAUUAGCUAAUACCGCAUACGCCCUGAGGGGGAAAGUAGGGGAUCUUCGGACCUUACGUUAUAAGAGCGGCCGAUAUCUGAUUAGCUAGUUGGUGGGGUAAUGGCCUACCAAGGCAUCGAUCAGUAGCUGGUCUGAGAGGACGACCAGCCACACUGGAACUGAGACACGGUCCAGACUCCUACGGGAGGCAGCAGUGGGGAAUUUUGGACAAUGGGCGCAAGCCUGAUCCAGCCAUUCCGCGUGAGUGAAGAAGGCCUUCGGGUUGUAAAGCUCUUUCGCAAGGGAAGAAAACUUACAUUCUAAUAAAGUGUGAGGCUGACGGUACCUUGAUAAGAAGCACCGGCUAACUACGUGCCAGCAGCCGCGGUAAUACGUAGGGUGCGAGCGUUAAUCGGAAUUACUGGGCGUAAAGCGUGCGCAGGCGGUUUGGCAAGUCAGAUGUGAAAUCCCCGAGCUCAACUUGGGAACUGCGUUUGAAACUGCCAGA
RNAcentral lists this ribosomal RNA (570 nucleotides) under uncultured beta proteobacterium. Its description in RNAcentral is "bacterial SSU rRNA". It matches the Rfam family "Bacterial small subunit ribosomal RNA", at positions 74 to 640 of the family's 1533-position model. The record is from RNAcentral. Lineage: Bacteria; Pseudomonadati; Pseudomonadota; Betaproteobacteria.